GACGAACGCUGGCGGCGUGCUUAACACAUGCAAGUCGAACGAAGAGCGAUGGAAGCUUGCUUCUAUCAAUCUUAGUGGCGAACGGGUGAGUAACGCGUAAUCAACCUGCCCUUCAGAGGGGGACAACAGUUGGAAACGACUGCUAAUACCGCAUACGAUCUAAUCUCGGCAUCGAGGAAAGAUGAAAGGUGGCCUCUAUUUAUAAGCUAUCACUGAAGGAGGGGAUUGCGUCUGAUUAGCUAGUUGGAGGGGUAACGGCCCACCAAGGCGAUGAUCAGUAGCCGGUCUGAGAGGAUGAACGGCCACAUUGGGACUGAGACACGGCCCAGACUCCUACGGGAGGCAGCAGUGGGGAAUCUUCCGCAAUGGACGAAAGUCUGACGGAGCAACGCCGCGUGAGGGAUGACGGCCUUCGGGUUGUAAAGCUCUGUUAAUCGGGACGAAAGGCCUUCUUGCGAACAGUUAGAAGGAUUGACGGUACCGGAAUAGAAAGCCACGGCUAACUACGUG
RNAcentral lists this ribosomal RNA (510 nucleotides) under uncultured bacterium. Its description in RNAcentral is "partial 16S ribosomal RNA". It matches the Rfam family "Bacterial small subunit ribosomal RNA", at positions 28 to 507 of the family's 1533-position model. The record is from RNAcentral.